AUAUUUUAAAGUCUUACAUUGUAUCAUCAUUUUGGCGUACAGUGAUAUUUUUUAAAGUUCAACAUAUUUCAUAGAAAUCUACAUAAAUAAUCUUCAUACUUCAAAACCUUUUCUUUGUUUCUAAUGCAGUCCUCACUUAAGUAUUCCUUGUUGAAAUUCAACAAUUACAAUUGCACAUAUGAUUUAAUUAAAGCAGGCCCAAUUUGAAUGAAAGUACAGGUGUAUUAUCAUUAUUUUCCGAAAUGAAAAAUACUUAACAGCUAGGUUUAUACUUAAAGGGGACAUAACUCUUAAUAUCCAUCACAGUAUAAAGUGAGUUAAGUUGAUAAAGGCUAGAUUUUUGUUCUUUCAAAGCUGGCAAUGUAUUUUUGUAAAAAGAAGGCGGUAUUGUAAAUAUAGAAAGAAAUCAUAUUUAACUUUUUAAAGGCUCAUCGAUUUUCAUUUAUUAAAUGAAAUGUAAGU
RNAcentral lists this long non-coding RNA (462 nucleotides) under Mytilus galloprovincialis (Mediterranean mussel). The record is from RNAcentral. Lineage: Eukaryota; Metazoa; Mollusca; Bivalvia; Mytilida; Mytilidae.